AUUGAACGCUGGCGGCAGGCCUAACACAUGCAAGUCGAAUGGUAACAGGAAACAGCUUGCUGUUUCGCUGACGAGUGGCGGACGGGUGAGUAAUGUCUGGGAAACUGCCUGAUGGAGGGGGAUAACUACUGGAAACGGUAGCUAAUACCGCAUAACGUCGCAAGACCAAAGAGGGGGACCUUCGGGCCUCUUGCCAUCAGGUGUGCCCAGCUGGGCUUAGCUAGUAGGUGGGGUAACGGCUCACCUAGGCGACGAUCCCUAGCUGGUCUGAGAGGAGGACCGGCCACACGGGAGCGGAGACACGGUCCAGGCUCCUGCGGGAGGCAGCAGUGGGGAAUAGUGGACAAUGGGCGGAAGCCUGAUGCAACCAGGCCGCGUGUAUGAAGAAGGCCUUCGGGUUGUAAAGUACUUUCAGCGGGGAGGAAGGGAGUAAAGUUAAUACCAUUGCUCAUUGACGUUACCCGCAGAAGAAGCACCGGCUAACUCCGUG
Molecule: ribosomal RNA, 490 nt
Filed under: uncultured bacterium
Lineage: Bacteria
Description: partial 16S ribosomal RNA
Rfam family: Bacterial small subunit ribosomal RNA
Source: RNAcentral